RNAcentral lists this ribosomal RNA (162 nucleotides) under uncultured cyanobacterium. RNAcentral's name for it is "partial 16S ribosomal RNA". It matches the Rfam family "Bacterial small subunit ribosomal RNA", at positions 304 to 485 of the family's 1533-position model. The record is from RNAcentral. Lineage: Bacteria; Bacillati; Cyanobacteriota.
UCAGCCACACUGGGACUGAGACACGGCCCAGACUCCUACGGNAGGCAGCGUGGGGAAUUUUNCGCAAUGGCGAAAGCCUGACGGAGCAACGCCGCGGAGGGNCGAAGCCUCUGGGCUGUAAACCUCUUUUCUCAAGGAAGAAGAUAUGACGGUACUUGAGGA